UAGGGUGAUUAUACCGGAGGUGUCCCACCCGUUCCCAUUCCGAACACGGCAGUGAAAUCCUCCAAGGCCGAUGAUAGUGGGUUUUCCCGCGAAAGUAGGUCGUCGCCCGAU
Molecule: ribosomal RNA, 111 nt
Filed under: Candidatus Portnoybacteria bacterium RBG_13_40_8
Lineage: Bacteria; Candidatus Portnoyibacteriota
Also listed under: 4 other names
Source: RNAcentral